AUUUCGAUUCAGCUGGUGCAAAUUGACGAUACAUCUAAAACUUAAAAACUGAUUGUUCACUUCUACAGGAAAAAUCUAAAUAAGAUCAACUGUGUAUUUCUGAUAGCCAGUUUGCUCCUAAAUGAAUCUUCAGCCUCAGAAUGACACAAUCAGGUACGACAAGAGCUUCAUAGAAGACGAUACCUUAAACUGUACGUACAAAUAAAUUGUGUUACUUCUCAUGAAAGUGAUCUCCAUGAGCAAAUGCAUAUGAUCCUGUGAAGCUCCCCAUAGAAGUGAACAUGCAACAAACCCUUUUUUGAGUAUUUGAGCCUAGUUAUUGGCGGUCUUAUCUAGUACAGGUAAACAAUUGAAUAAGAUCUCAGCUGCAUGGUCCAAUUCUUGCUCGGUGAUGGUCAAUGGUGGUACAAGCCUCACAACAUUUCCUUUCCCUGCUGUCAGUACAAGAAGGCCAGAUUGUUGACAUGCUUCAACCAGCGGAGAUGCUGGUACAUCAAGGUCGAUCCCAAUAAUAAGCCCCACACCUCGUACAUCUCUCACAUGUGAGUUCCCUCCUAAUUUCUUAACCAGCAAUUCCUUGAAAUCUUGACCUUUCUUUGCGACACUGGCAAGGAAACCUGGUCCGGAGAUCUUGUCCAGCACAGCAACUGCAGCGUUGCAAACAAGGGGACCACCAGCAAAGGUGCUACCAUGAUCCCCAUAAUUGAUGGCAGCAGCAACUCUUUCAGUUACCAACACUGCCCCAAUAGGUAGACCUCCUGCAAGAGGCUUUGCAAGAGUCAUUAUAUCUGGGUAUAUGCCAUAAGCUUCAUGCGCCCAAAGAUGACCAGUUCUUCCUAGGCCGCAUUGAACCUCAUCAAAGACAAGGAGAGAACCUGCACUAUCACAGGCAGUCCUCAGUGCUUGUAAAAAUUCUUGUGUUGCACUAUAUAUACCACCUUCACCUUGGAUUGGUUCGACAAAUACAGCAGCUAUUUUACCACUCUGAAUUAAUUCUUUUGCUGCUUGAACAUUACCAUACUCCAGGAAAGUAACUCCUGGCAUUAUAGGUUCAAAAGGUGACCUGUAAUAUUCUUUGCUUGUCAAAGCAACGGCACCCAUGGUCCUUCCAUGGAAGCAAUUGGAGAAGGCAAUGAACUCCACAGGAGGCUGCUUCUCAUCGGGAUGAGAAAAUCUCUGAAACUUCCUUGCAAAUUUAAUUGCAGCUUCAUUUGCUUCUGUUCCA
This 1225-nucleotide unclassified non-coding RNA is filed under the name Hevea brasiliensis (rubber tree). Lineage: Eukaryota; Viridiplantae; Streptophyta; Magnoliopsida; Malpighiales; Euphorbiaceae. The record is from RNAcentral.